RNAcentral lists this long non-coding RNA (1479 nucleotides) under Bos indicus x Bos taurus (hybrid cattle). RNAcentral's name for it is "lncRNA (ENSBIXG00000030322.1)". Lineage: Eukaryota; Metazoa; Chordata; Mammalia; Artiodactyla; Bovidae. The record is from RNAcentral.
AUGGGAUGGAGGCUGACUCUCACCUCCUCUCCCCGUCACAGCUUCAGGCAAGCCCCCAGCUCCCUCCUCUUUUCCUACUCUUCAGAGCCUUCGGACCCUCCAGUAGGAGAAGGGGAACUCGCCCUGGUCAGAGGUUUGGGAGGGCCUCCUGUGGCUCUGAGCAUGGACAGACAAGACUGGAGCAGCCCAGGGUGCUGGGCCUGGGACCAGAGAGGGACGGGACAGGACGGAUCCAGCCAAGCCCACCCUAGGCCCGCUGCCCCUCACAGACUAUCACAGACUUGUGCCCCGGCUGCCCCUAUCACAGACAAGUGCUCCAGUGUCCUUGCCUGUCACAGCAACUCUUGGCAGCAGGAGGGGAGCAGCAGGAAGUGGUUCAUUAUUCCAUCCUUCAUUAGGUCUGCAUUAGGCAGCCCGAGAGGAGAGGAACCGUGGGAUGUGCAGGAGGAGGCCUCUGCUUCAGAUGGGCCUGUGAAGGGGCUGUGGCGCUGGACCCGCCCCCUGCAGCCUCCUUCCCAACUGCCCCCUCCCUCUCCCCUGCUCCCCGACUCCUUUCAUUCUCACUCCUCCUCUUCCCCAUUGUGCCUACCAGCCUCCCCACCUCCCUGGGGGGCUCCCCAGGGCUCUCCCCUAAAAGGGGACCUCCCCUACGCAGGUCUCCAUCCAGACUUUGGACAACCACCCAGUGGCCCCUCCCCCCAAAGAGACAGUGCCAUCGGCAUAUCCCCGAUGUGUGGUCAGUCAGCGGCAGAAUGCAGGGCGGACUCCCGCCUGCGCCCACCGCGACCGACCCCUCUCCCCUUGACCUCAGGCUGCCACUUCGGAGCCUGGGCCGCCCCCGAGCGGACCUGCCCUUCAUUCAGGACGCUCUGUCCGGGACGCUCCAGGCUGCGGCACCCAGAGGUCAGCAGGGGCCGGUUCCUCCUCUCGGACACCUUUGUUCUUCUCCCGCCUUUGUCCCCGGCCUGUCCUCCUGACCAGCCCACAGCCCCGGCGCGUCUCACCCCUCGCCUGUCAGCUCGCCUCUCCCUCCCACUCCCCUUCGUGGCCUUUGGCCCGCUCGAGCGGGGCAGCCCGGCAGGGUGCGGGGUGGGGCCCCUCUGCCCUCUCGCCCAGCCCCCAGCCCGCCUGGCCCCCCGCAGCCCCGCUCCCCCACUGCUCCCUCUCCGGCCCACGCCCCCCUCACUUGCCCCGCGUCCCGCCCCCUCAAACACCUCCCCUCGCCUCCUCCGCCCCCUCCCCAUUUCCUCUUCCCUCUUUCCCUGGCCCUUCAGUCCCUGGAAGUCAGGCCUCCUCCUCCCCUCCCCUCUUCGCUCUCGUCCUCUCCCUUCUCUCUUCCCCCUCCAGACUCCACUCCUUCGCCUGCUCACUCACCCUCUCCCUCUCCCGCUUGCCCCCCCCUCUCUCCCCCACCUCUUUGUUUCAGCUGAGAACCGGCGGCUCCUCGGGACAGUUCCCACACCGCAGUGCCUCUGGUGA